RNAcentral lists this ribosomal RNA (503 nucleotides) under uncultured bacterium. RNAcentral describes it as "bacterial SSU rRNA". It matches the Rfam family "Bacterial small subunit ribosomal RNA", at positions 10 to 507 of the family's 1533-position model. The record is from RNAcentral.
AGUUUGAUCAUGGCUCAGAUUGAACGCUGGCGGAAUGCUUUACACAUGCAAGUCGAACGGCAGCACGGGGGCAACCCUGGUGGCGAGUGGCGAACGGGUGAGUAAUAUAUCGGAACGUGCCCAGUCGUGGGGGAUAACGUAGCGAAAGCUACGCUAAUACCGCAUACGAUCUAUGGAUGAAAGCGGGGGAUCGCAAGACCUCGCGCGAUUGGAGCGGCCGAUAUCAGAUUAGGUUGUUGGUGGGGUAAAAGCCCACCAAGCCGACGAUCUGUAGCUGGUCUGAGAGGACGACCAGCCACACUGGGACUGAGACACGGCCCAGACUCCUACGGGAGGCAGCAGUGGGGAAUUUUUGGACAAUGGGCGCAAGCCUGAUCCAGCAAUGCCGCGUGCAGGAUGAAGGCCUUCGGGUUGUAAACUGCUUUUGUACGGAACGAAACGGCCCUGUCUAAUACGCGGGGCUAAUGACGGUACCGUAAGAAUAAGCACCGGCUAACUACGUG